Molecule: ribosomal RNA, 372 nt
Filed under: uncultured organism
Description: bacterial SSU rRNA
Rfam family: Bacterial small subunit ribosomal RNA
Source: RNAcentral
CAGAGGGGGCAAGCGUUAUUCGGAAUUAUUGGGCGUAAAGGGCGCGUAGGCGGCUUUGCAAGUGACGGGUGAAAUCCCUCGGCUUAACCGAGGAACUGCCUGUCAAACUGCAUGGCUUGAGACCGGGAGAGGUGAGUGGAAUUCCCAGUGUAGCGGUGAAAUGCGUAGAUCUUGGGAGGAACACCAGUGGCGAAGGCGGCUCACUGGACCGGUACUGACGCUGAUGCGCGAAAGCGUGGGUAGCAAACAGGAUUAGAUACCCUGGUAGUCCACGCCGUAAACGAUGAGUGCUUGGUGUGGCGGGUAUCGACCCCUGCUGUGCCGAAGUCAACACAUUAAGCACUCCGCCUGGGGAGUACGGUCGCAAGGCUG